This 316-nucleotide long non-coding RNA is filed under the name Rhinopithecus bieti (black snub-nosed monkey). Its description in RNAcentral is "lncRNA (ENSRBIG00000046158.1)". The record is from RNAcentral. Lineage: Eukaryota; Metazoa; Chordata; Mammalia; Primates; Cercopithecidae.
GCCCAGUGAAGGGUAACACACAUAGAGUUCAGUGACCCCCUUGUUCCUUGAGGAGAGAGGACCUAUUCCUAUCUAAGGACAUUCCCGGAAGGCAACGGGUUUCAAACAAUGUCCUGAAGAGACUCAUCUCAGGGAACCAAGCAGGUGGUAAUCAGAGAACACAGAGCCCCCAGAAUUAUUUUAUGGGAUUUCAAGCAGGCCACAGGCCAGCCUGGAGAAAAAGCAGGAAGAAGAACUGGCAAUACGAGGGCCUGACCCGAAAGUUAUUUCUGAAGAGAAACAACGGAAAGGAUGCCUGAAUUCUUGACAGGGCCAG